GAGGAGCCAUGUCUCGACCGCCCUCCACCCACACCACCCCCCAGUCUUACCGCAUCAGUGACAGAGACCUGACGGAGAUCCAGCUCCACUCUGUGGACUCCAUCAAUGACCUGCACCGCAUGCACCCUGAGCACGGCCACAGAGGCAUACGACCGCCUCUCUCGCCCGCCCACAGCCCGACGUCCAAUGGAAACCCCUGUUUCCCCGGCAGGACGGACGUCAAUCAACCAGGCCAGCCAAUCAGCGCUAAACUGCAGAAACACUUGGGGGAGACGUGGGGCUCCGGUUCGUCGAGGGUCUACAUCGCGGCCUGUGGACUCAUCGCGUUCCUACUGCUGUUCGUCACCGUCUACUUCCUGGUCCAACAGGGCGGCGCUAUGCGGACGCUCACAGAGGCCGUGAGGGAGAAACAGGACGUUUCCAUGGAGAUAUCCAAGCUGAUUCAGGAGCUACAGGCCCUGAGACACAACCUGACAGCUCUGAGGGACAGGCCUUGA
Molecule: long non-coding RNA, 497 nt
Filed under: Gadus morhua (Atlantic cod)
Lineage: Eukaryota; Metazoa; Chordata; Actinopteri; Gadiformes; Gadidae
Description: lncRNA (ENSGMOG00000010478.2)
Source: RNAcentral